UCUGGUUCGAGUCCAGGAUGGCCCACCUGAAUCAAUUAAAAAUGUGAAAUUAAAAAUUAAAAAUGACAGAUAAGCUCUUUAGUUUUUAAUUGUCAAUUUUGAAUUUUUAAUUGGUCGAGGGGGUUUAGCUCAGUUGGUAGAGCGCCUGCUUUGCAAGCAGGAUGUCAGCGGUUCGAGUCCGCUAACCUCCACCUUGAUAGCCUCAGCUAUAAACAUAAUGGAUUAGAUUCAGCAACAUGGCUGUGAGCCAGACUGCUGGGUUAGUUAUCCAGCCAGAACCUUGAAAACUGCAA
Molecule: transfer RNA, 293 nt
Filed under: Nostoc sp. BTA205
Lineage: Bacteria; Bacillati; Cyanobacteriota; Cyanophyceae; Nostocales; Nostocaceae
Description: partial 16S-23S ribosomal RNA intergenic spacer
Rfam family: tRNA (bases 119-191)
Source: RNAcentral